GUUUGGUAAUAGUUUAUAUAUGAUAUAUACUUUAUCUAUUUUGUUGAUAUAUUUGUUACUGUGUUUCAAAUACAUGUUCAUAUAUGUAACUAGUGUGUUAAAUAUAUAUAUAUUUCUAUUUUAUGUUAUAAUUUGAUUAUGUUUUCGGAUCGGAUCGUGUCAAUACGCCGUUUUCACAUAUACGUGUAUGAGGCGUGACAUUUGUGUUAUCCGAUCCAGUUGCGAUGAUCGCAAUUUUGCGCUAGCAACGCCGUUGUUUUUUUUAAUUCAUAUUUUUUUUAUAUACAUAUAUUUAGAUCUGCAUAUUUUUUUUCAUAACUAACUACCCUGAUUUUUCCUAAACCCUGACAAUUUCGCCACAAACUCUAAAUUUCAAACCUAAAACUUUAACCGUGUUGUUUCUUUUAAACCAUAAACCUUUUCUUAAACCUUAACAAACCUUAUUAUUAUUUCCUAUUU
This 459-nucleotide long non-coding RNA is filed under the name Lathyrus oleraceus (garden pea). RNAcentral describes it as "Pisum sativum (pea) long non-coding RNA (PSAT_LNC022255)". The record is from RNAcentral. Lineage: Eukaryota; Viridiplantae; Streptophyta; Magnoliopsida; Fabales; Fabaceae.